GGGGACGAUUUGGAUUCGACGUGGAUUACGAAACUCCAGGUGCAUGCCGAGAUGUCAGCGAAUCUCGUAAAAUCAAAGCUGAAACUUAAUAGUUGCAAACGAAGACAACUACGCUUUAGCCGCUUAAGGCUAACUGUCUACUCUGAGCGUCCUUGGUAGGAGCUAGACAGUCAAUACAGGGACUCGCAGGUAACUGUGCUCGGCAGCCAACUGUUAAACUUUCCUCGAGACCGUCUUUGAAUGCCUGCCCAUCGGCACGUCAAAGAUUAAAAUAAUGAUGGACCUAAGCAUGUAGACCCUCGAGCAGAGGAUUCGCGGACGCGGGUUCAAUUCCCGCCGUCUCCACCA
Non-coding RNA from Kangiella koreensis DSM 16069, 348 nucleotides. It matches the Rfam family "transfer-messenger RNA". From Rfam's summary of the family: Bacterial tmRNA, also known as 10Sa RNA or SsrA, is named for its dual tRNA and mRNA-like properties. NCBI's taxonomy places the organism in Bacteria, Pseudomonadati, Pseudomonadota, Gammaproteobacteria, Kangiellales, Kangiellaceae. The record is from Rfam.